UUUCCGUAGGUGAACCUGCGGAAGGAUCAUUCAUAAUAAGUGUUUUAUGGCACUUUUUUAAAUCCAUAUCCACCUUGUGUGCAAUGUCAGGGUUGAUUUUUCUCUCGAGAGGAUCAACCCCAAACAUCAACUAUAUCUCAACUCUUUGUCUGAAAAGUAUUAUGAAUAAAACAAUUCAAAAUACAACUUUCAACAACGGAUCUCUUGGCUCUC
Molecule: unclassified non-coding RNA, 213 nt
Filed under: plant metagenome
Description: partial contains small subunit ribosomal RNA, internal transcribed spacer 1, and 5.8S ribosomal RNA
Source: RNAcentral